Molecule: ribosomal RNA, 481 nt
Filed under: uncultured bacterium
Lineage: Bacteria
Description: partial 16S ribosomal RNA
Rfam family: Bacterial small subunit ribosomal RNA
Source: RNAcentral
GAUGAACGCUGGCGGCGUGCUUAACACAUGCAAGUCGAACGAAGCAUUUGCGACAGAUUUUUUCGGAAUGAAGUUGCUUAUGACUGAGUGGCGGACGGGUGAGUAACGCGUGGGUAACCUGCCUUGUACUGGGGGAUAGCAGCUGGAAACGGCUGGUAAUACCGCAUAAGCGCACAAUGUUGCAUGACAUGGUGUGAAAAACUCCGGUGGUAUAAGAUGGACCCGCGUCUGAUUAGCUAGUUGGUGAGAUAACAGCCCACCAAGGCGACGAUCAGUAGCCGACCUGAGAGGGUGACCGGCCACAUUGGGACUGAGACACGGCCCAGACUCCUACGGGAGGCAGCAGUGGGGAAUAUUGCAUAAUGGAGGAAACUCUGAUGCAGCGACGCCGCGUGAGUGAAGAAGUAAUUCGUUAUGUAAAGCUCUAUCAGCAGGGAAGAUAGUGACGGUACCUGACGAAGAAGCUCCGGCUAAAUACGUG